RNAcentral lists this ribosomal RNA (253 nucleotides) under uncultured bacterium. RNAcentral's name for it is "partial 16S ribosomal RNA". It matches the Rfam family "Bacterial small subunit ribosomal RNA", at positions 524 to 776 of the family's 1533-position model. The record is from RNAcentral.
UACGGAGGGUGCAAGCGUUGUUCGGAAUCAUUGGGCGUAAAGCGCGUGUAGGCGGCUUGGCAAGUCGGUUGUGAAAGCCCGGGGCCCAACCCCGGAACUGCAUCUGAAACUGCCUGGCUAGAGUCCCGGAGAGGAAGGCAGAAUUCCCGGUGUAGGGGUGAAAUCCGUAGAUAUCAGGAGGAACACCAAUGGCGAAGGCAGCUCGUUGGAGCGGUACUGACGCUGAGGCGCGAAAGCGUGGGGAGCGAACAGG